GGGUCAGUAGGUUGGUCGUGCCACCGGUACGUACUGGCCUCACUUAUUCCUCCUUCCUGAAGAACCGUAAUGCCAUUAAUUUGGUGUUGCGGGGAAACAGGACUGUUACUUUGAAAAAAUUAGAGUGUUUAAAGCAAGCUAACGCUUGAAUACAUUAGCAUGGAAUAAUGAAAUAGGACGAUCGAUCCUAUUUUGUUGGUUUCUAGGAUUGACGUA
Molecule: ribosomal RNA, 216 nt
Filed under: Glomeromycotina sp.
Lineage: Eukaryota; Fungi; Glomeromycota
Description: partial small subunit ribosomal RNA
Rfam family: Eukaryotic small subunit ribosomal RNA (bases 40-216)
Source: RNAcentral